GACGAACGCUGGCGGCGUGCCUAAUACAUGCAAGUAGAACGCACAGUUUAUACCGUAGCUUGCUACACCAUAAACUGUGAGUUGCGAACGGGUGAGUAACGCGUAUGUAACCUGCCUGGUAGCGGGGGAUAACUAUUGGAAACGAUAGCUAAUACCGCAUAAUAUUGAUUAUUGCAUGAUAAUUGAUUGAAAGAUGCUAUUGCAUCACUACUAGAUGGACCUGCGUUGUAUUAGCUAGUAGGUGAGGUAACGGCUCACCUAGGCGACGAUACAUAGCCGACCUGGGAGGGUGAUCGGCCACACUGGGACUGGGACACGGCCCAGACUCCUACGGGAGGCAGCAGUAGGGAAUCUUCGGCAAUGGACGAAAGUCUGACCGAGCAACGCCGCGUGAGUGAAGAAGGUUUUCGGAUCGUAAAGCUCUGUUGUAAGAGAAGAACGGGUGUGAGAGUGGAAAGUUCACACUGUGACGGUAUCUUACCAGAAAGGGACGGCUAACUACGUG
RNAcentral lists this ribosomal RNA (505 nucleotides) under uncultured bacterium. Its description in RNAcentral is "partial 16S ribosomal RNA". It matches the Rfam family "Bacterial small subunit ribosomal RNA", at positions 28 to 507 of the family's 1533-position model. The record is from RNAcentral.